CAAUGCAGAUUGUGGAA
RNAcentral lists this small RNA (17 nucleotides) under Arabidopsis thaliana (thale cress). RNAcentral's name for it is "ATSL014380". The record is from RNAcentral. Lineage: Eukaryota; Viridiplantae; Streptophyta; Magnoliopsida; Brassicales; Brassicaceae.